AGUUUGAUCCUGGCUCAGAAUGAACGCUGGACGGCAGGCUUAACACAUGCAAGUCGAACGGAAACGAUGAAAAGCUUGCUUUUCAGGCGUCGAGUGGCGGACGGGUGAGUAACGCGUGGGAAUCUACCCUAUAGUUGGGGACAACAUAUGGAAACGUAUGCUAAUACCGAAUACNCUCUACGGAGUAAAGGAGCCCACUUCAUGAAAGGUUUCGCUAUAGGAUGAGCCCGCGUUAGAUUANCUANNUGGUGAGGUAAAGGCUCACCAAGGCCACGAUCUAUAGCUGGUUUGAGAGGAUGAUCAGCCACACUGGGUACUGAGACACGGCCCAGACUCCUACGGGAGGCAGCAG
RNAcentral lists this ribosomal RNA (352 nucleotides) under uncultured bacterium. Its description in RNAcentral is "bacterial SSU rRNA". It matches the Rfam family "Bacterial small subunit ribosomal RNA", at positions 10 to 354 of the family's 1533-position model. The record is from RNAcentral.